CGUGGGUAACCUGCCUUAUAGUGGGGGAUAGCCUUUCGAAAGGAAGAUUAAUACCGCAUAAGAUUGUAGUAUCGCAUGAUAUAGCAAUUAAAGGAGCAAUCCGCUAUAAGAUGGACCCGCGUCGCAUUAGCUAGUUGGCGAGGUGAUGGCUCACCAAGGCGACGAUGCGUAGCCGACCUGAGAGGGUGAUCGGCCACAUUGGGACUGAGACACGGCCCAGACUCCUACGGGAGGCAGCAUG
RNAcentral lists this ribosomal RNA (241 nucleotides) under uncultured bacterium. Its description in RNAcentral is "partial 16S ribosomal RNA". It matches the Rfam family "Bacterial small subunit ribosomal RNA", at positions 116 to 353 of the family's 1533-position model. The record is from RNAcentral.